This 5478-nucleotide long non-coding RNA is filed under the name Homo sapiens (human). RNAcentral describes it as "HSALNT0117470". Lineage: Eukaryota; Metazoa; Chordata; Mammalia; Primates; Hominidae. The record is from RNAcentral.
CCGUUGUGCAGAUCUGGCUUCUGGACUUCCUUCUGCUGUCCAGCCCACCACUGCCCAGCUCCUCAAGAAAAAGGGCUCCAGGUCUGAAUCCUUCCCUCGGGGGCGGGAUGUGUGGCUGGACCUGAGGUCAGAAGCGCGGCUGAGGCUGCAGACGUGUGCACAGAGUAAAUGUGUUGAAAUACUUUACUGCACGUGUUCCCUUUAUACUCUCUUUUCACACUGAUUUCAGGCCUGCAGUCUUUGUGCAUCUUUGCUUACAGGAUUUUGCCGUAUUGUAAAUCAGAAUGACCCUGAAGUUUAAGCUAAGCCAGACUCUUAUGGAAGAAAAAGCUAGGUGUCAGAGGUGGUGGGGGUGGGGGAUGCGGGGAGAGGGCUUUUGGGAAGCGCUGGUCUAAAAAUCUUUCCAGACACAACCAUUUCUUACCUCCACCAUCACCACUCUGAUGGAGCCACUGUCACCUGUGACUUCUGUACCUGUUUUGUAUGGCUGCCAUGCCCCUCCCACCCACCUCCAGUCUACAGACAGAAAGGCACGUGGAUAGAUAGACAGAAGGAUAGAUAGAUAGACAGAGACACAUAGAUAGAUGAUAGAUAGAUAGAUAGAUAGAUAGAUAGAUAGAUAGAUAGAUAUGAUAGAUGAUAGAGACAGAUAGAUGAUAGAUAGAUGGAUGAUAGAUGAUAGAGGAUAGGUGAUAGAUGAUAGAUAGAUAGAUGAUAGAUAGCGACAGAUAGAUAGAUGAUAGAGACAGAUAGAGACAGAUAGAUGAUAGAUAGAUAGAGACAGAUAGAUAGAUGAUAGAUAGAUAGAUGAUAGAUGAUAGAGACAGAGACAGAUAGAUGAUAGAUGAUAGGUAGAUAGGUUAGAUAGAUAGAUAGGUGAUAGAUGAUAGGUAGAUAGGUAGAUAGAUAGAUGAUAGAUGAUAGAUGAUAGAUAGAUGAUAGAUGGAUAGAUAGACAGAAAGAUGAUGAUAUAGCUCUCCUUCUCCCGCUUUCUGUUCUGAGGUAGCAGGCCACACUCAGGAAUGCUGGAAUGUGGGUGUUUGGUGAAAGUGCUCUGUGAAUGAACAAUAUACAUGAGCUGUAUCUAUAUCCAGUCUAGUCUCAACACAGCAGCCAGAGGUUUCUUCCAAAAAUACAUGUCAGCUCAGACCCCUCUCAGCUCCCGUCUCUCCAGCAGGUCCCCAUCCAGCUAGGUCAGGAAAAGCCACCUUCACGAUGGCUAUGGAGGCCCCCAAGGAUGUCCCGCACUCACCCCCAGAAGCUUGAGUGUGAUGAGAGGCCGCCCUGAGGCACAUUGUUCUCUGGACAGUUGGCCUUAAACGAGGGAGGUUAUCCUGGUUUCUGGGGGAGCCCUGACAGCAGAGAGCGUCCUCUGGAUGCAGGCGGAAGAGGGUGGCAGAGAGGACUCGGCGUGAGGAGGACUCAGGGUGCCCUUGCUGGCUUUGAGAAGGCGGAUGCAGCCAGCCUUGAGCUGACAGCCCACAGGGGAGUGGGGCCUCUGUCCCUCAGCCACAGGGAGAAGUCCUCUAGCCCCCAGUGAGCCUGAAGCAUGUUCUUUCCUCGAGCCCCAGACAAGAGCACGGCCCACUGGCACCUUGACUUUGGCCUAUGAGAGCAGAGUACCCCGCUGAGCCAACCCUCUCCGACUGUGAUAAUACAUGGGUGUUGUUCAAGCUGCCACAUUGUCCGGGGGCUGUAAGAAAUGAAUACUGUGGUCUGCAAGUCCCCCUGACAGUCUCCCACCCUCCUCCCUGGUCCCUCAGACACCCUUGUUCCUCCCGUCAGAACCACAGGCCUCAUACUCCCUCUGCCAGAGGCCCUUCCCCAAAACAGAGGAGCGAGUGGAGCAGACAGCUGCCGGCUGGGUGUGUUCCAAGCCUCGGCGGAUGCUUCAGAAUAGAAGCGCCCACGCCGCUUUGCAAAGUGCGACUAACCUGGGGUUCCAGAGGUCGGCCCUUCUUUGUCCUGGUGGACGGCCUAAGGCCGAGGUGUCCGACCCGGGACCGAGUGUCCCUGUCACAGGAGACUGGCUGACACCUGCAUGCAGUUUAUUCCAGCCAAGACAGCCACGCCAAAGGACCACGCCGACGGGAGGAGAGAAAGGCAUCAUCACAUUUUAUGAAUGACAGAUGGCUUUUACCACACCUUUGCAUGAUCGCUUAUGGUAAUAGGACUGCGGUGCCCUGAGACGUGGGGAUCUGCGUGAGUGCCCCCGGCAAAGUCUGCUCUUCCGGCCUCGAAUCUGGAUCCCAGGAGCCCGUCCAUAUCCCUCAUCCAGCAAACUCCAUGGCCAUGCAGGGCUCCUCAGGACACUGCAGUUGUGCCCUGUUUAAAACAAUAACUGUUUCUCAAGUUUCUUGGAGUGAAGCCACCAUGACCUUUGCAACAGACGAAGCCUACACUUUUUCCAAGUGUGACUCAAAGGACAAAAGGUUCAUGCACAAGGCAGUUCUAAAAGUGGAUGGGUAAUUGCUGGUUCUGCUUCCUGUAAGGAUUUUGUAAGAUCACACCAAACCCACUCCCUUACAGAAAACAGCUUCAAAAUCUGUACACAAUGCAAACAGGCUGCUUGUGGGCGUUGGAGAGUGAACAGCAAGACGGACCUGGGGUGUACACGGGGGAUAAAGGAGUUGCAGGAAGCACGUUCUCUUUGACCGUGGCUGUUAGCCUGAGCACUAUGUAGUUAGGGCAUGAGGAGCUGGGGGUCCUCAGGGAAGACCACAGUCUUCAUGGCCUGGAACAGGAGCAGGACGAAAUUGGGGAAGCUGUGGCCAGUGGAGGGGGGGAGCGUCCAGAAGGGGAAACUUGGCGGACUCUACUCAUGUUUCCGACUGGCCCUGAACUGCACACACUCAAAGCAGAUAAAAGAAGCCCAGCUAAAGGCUGGUACAAAAUGACCUUCUUUAUAAUGCUGGUUGUGUUCAUUGUUCAAUAUUAAUAUAGCUGUUCCCGCUUUUUUUUUUUUUGACUAGUGUUAGUACAGUGUAUCUUUUAAAAUCCCAUUAGUUUUCAUGUAUUUGUGAAUUUAUAUUUAAAGUGGGUUUUGGGUAGGCAGCAAUUAGUUGGGUCUUGCUUUGUUAUUAAGUCUGACAAACUGCCACUGAAUUAGACCAAUGGUUAUAGAUCAUUUUCAUCUACCAUCACUGUUGAUAAUGGUUGGACUUAAACCACCAUCUUGCUAUUUGCAUUUUAUUUAUCCUGUCUACUUUUUGUUUCCUGUUCCUCUUAGCCAGCCUUCUUCUGGACUGGGUAUUUUUUAAUCAUCCCAUUUAAUCACUUCUGUUGGCUUAUUCCCCAUAACUCUGUCUGUACAUAUGUAUGUGUGCGUGUGUGUGUAUACAUUUUAGGGUUUAUAGUGUGCACCUUCAACUUAUCAUAAUCUAUCUUCAAAUAAUAUUACACUACAUCAUGAUGGUUUAAUAACCUUACAGCAGCACACUUCCAUUCCCUGCCCUCCUUCAUGUCCUUGUGGGCACAUAUUUUAUUUCUCUACAUGUUCUAUACCCAGCAAAACAUGCUUUUCCUUCCUGUGCUUCUAUCGGGUCUCCUAUAAUGUCAUUUUCCUCUUGUCCAAAGGACUUUCUUUAAUAUCUCUUAGUGCUUAUCUGCUGGUAUGAUUAAUAUUUUAGCUUUUAUAUGUCUGAAAAACUUGAUAUCUCACCCUGUUUCUACCUUUGUUGCCAGGUACAGAAUCACAAAUCAACAGGCUUUUCCCGGCAGUACUUUGCAGAGCUUGUUCCACUGUCCUCUAGCUCGCCUCAUUUUCAAGGAGAAACCUGUCGUCAUCCUUGUCUUUGUUCCUCUGUACCCAGCACGUCUCUUUUCUUCUGCCUGCUGUUAAGAUUGUCUCGUUCUUACCCAGUUUAAGCAGUUUGGUUAAGAUGUGCCUUCUUCGUACUUCAUACUUUUUGGACUGGGAUAUGUAGCUUUUAAAAAGCAAAUUUCAAAAGAUUUCAGUCAUUAUGUCCUCCUUUUUUUUCUGUUUUUUUUUCUUUGUUUUCUUUCUGGGACUCUAAAUGUAUGAAUUUUAGGCCAAUUGAAGUUGCCCCCCAAUUAGCUUUCUGCUCCUUUUGAAGGGGUCUAUUUUCUGUCUGUGUUUCACUUUGGAUGGUUUCUAUUAUAUACCUUUAAGUUCAUUAAUCUUUCCUUUUGUAGUGUCUGUCUAAUCUCAUCAUCUCAUCCAGUGAAUUUUCUUUAUCUCAGAAAUGGUUUCAUCUCUAAAAGUUAGAAUUGGGACUUUUUAAUGUUUUUCAUAUCUCUGCUUAACGUUAUCAUGUGGAAUAGAGUGAUAAUAACUACAGUUCAUCUGUGUCUAGGAAUGCCCUCAUCUGUGCCAUUUGUGAAUUAGUUUCAAUUUGUUGAUAUUCCUCAUUACAUGAUGUGUUUUCCUGCCUCUUUGCAUACUUGGUGAUUUUUUACUGUAUGCUAGACAUCAUGUACUUUUCCUUGUUAGAUCCUGGAUAGUUUUGCACUCCUAAAAUUAUUUUAAAACUUUUCAGGGAUGAAGUUACUUUACUUGGAAACAAUUUGAUAUAUUUGAGGCUUGAUUUUAAGCUUUUUUGGGUGGGGCCUAAAUUAGUCUAGGACUGAUUAUGCUCUACUACUGAGGUGAUACCAUGCUGAAAAAGCUUAAUAAGGAGAAAGAUCAAUCAAUAAAUAUUCACGUAUAUUCACAAAAUAUAAUGAGGAGAAAAAUCAAUCAGUAAAUAUUCACGUAACCCUAAAAAAAGUUAAGAAAUGAGAAACAAAGGGGGGAACUGGAGGGUAUGUAUAGAGAGCGAGGCAUAAAAUUACAGACCCAGACAUAACCAUGUCAAUACUUAUUUAAAUAUGAGUGGACCAAAGAUUUCAGGUAAAACGCAGAGGUUGUCAGAAUAGAUAUGAAAACAAGACCCACACACAUGCUGUCUUCCAAAAUUGCACUUGAAGAACAGAGACACAGGUAGCUUUAAAUGACAUUAAAGUUAAAGCAUAAACACUGGAAAGGGAGAAGAAGAACUGCCUCUUUAUGCAGAUAUCAUGAAUCAUGUAUGAGGAAGUAUCUUAAGAAACUUACAAACAACUAGCAUAGGCACUGAGAAAGCGUGGUCUACUCAUCAACCACAAACAGGAAUGAAGCCCUAACAUGCCACAAUAUGGAUGAACCUUGAAACUGAAAACAUGAUGAGUGAAAGAAGACGGACACAAAGGGCCGCAUGUUAUAUGAUUCCAGUUAUACGAAAUGGGCAGAUCUAAAGAGGCAGAACGCAGGUUAGUGGUGACAGGAGCUGGGGGAAGGGAGGAACAGAGAGUGACACCUCGAUUGAUGUGGUGUCUCCUUUCUUGGUGAUGCGAAUGUCCUGGGGCCGACAACGUGGUGAACGCACUGGAUGCCACUGAAUUGUGCACUUCAAAAUUGUGAAAAUAGUGAAUUUUAUAAUAUGUGAAUUUUACCACCAUAAAAACCAAACUAUUAGUACAAAUAAAAUUAGUUUAGCC